RNAcentral lists this ribosomal RNA (377 nucleotides) under uncultured bacterium. RNAcentral's name for it is "bacterial SSU rRNA". It matches the Rfam family "Bacterial small subunit ribosomal RNA", at positions 28 to 404 of the family's 1533-position model. The record is from RNAcentral.
GACGAACGCUGGCGGCGUGCUUAACACAUGCAAGUCGAGCGGUAAGGCCCUUUCGGGGGUACACGAGCGGCGAACGGGUGAGUAACACGUGGGUGACCUGCCCUCAGCUCUGGGAUAAGCCUGGGAAACCGGGUCUAAUACCGGAUAUGACUCCAUGACGCAUGUUGUGGGGUGGAAAGCCUUGUGCGGCUGAGGAUGGGCCCGCGGCCUAUCAGCUUGUUGGUGGGGUGAUGGCCUACCAAGGCGACGACGGGUAGCCGGCCUGAGAGGGCGACCGGCCACACUGGGACUGAGACACGGCCCAGACUCCUACGGGAGGCAGCAGUGGGGAAUCUUGCGCAAUGGGGCGAAAAGCCUGACGCAGCGACGCCGCGUGA